Molecule: ribosomal RNA, 328 nt
Filed under: uncultured bacterium
Lineage: Bacteria
Description: partial 16S ribosomal RNA
Rfam family: Bacterial small subunit ribosomal RNA
Source: RNAcentral
UGGGGAAUAUUGCACAAUGGGCGCAAGCCUGAUGCAGCCAUGCCGCGUGUAUGAAGAAGGCCUUCGGGUUGUAAAGUACUUUCAGCGGGGAGGAAGGCGAUGUGGUUAAUAACCGCGUCGAUUGACGUUACCCGCAGAAGAAGCACCGGCUAACUCCGUGCCAGCAGCCGCGGUAAUACGGAGGGUGCAAGCGUUAAUCGGAAUUACUGGGCGUAAAGCGCACGCAGGCGGUGUGUCAAGUCGGAUGUGAAAUCCCCGGGCUCAACCUGGGAACUGCAUCCGAAACUGGCAGGCUUGAGUCUCGUAGAGGGGGGUAGAAUUCCAGGUG